AGUGAACGCUGGCGGUAGGCCUAACACAUGCAAGUCGAACGGCAGCACAGUAAGAGCUUGCUCUUACGGGUGGCGAGUGGCGGACGGGUGAGGAAUACAUCGGAAUCUACUUUUUCGUGGGGGAUAACGUAGGGAAACUUACGCUAAUACCGCAUACGACCUACGGGUGAAAGCAGGGGAUCUUCGGACCUUGCGCGAUUGAAUGAGCCGAUGUCGGAUUAGCUAGUUGGCGGGGUAAAGGCCCACCAAGGCGACGAUCCGUAGCUGGUCUGAGAGGAUGAUCAGCCACACUGGAACUGAGACACGGUCCAGACUCCUACGGGAGGCAGCAGUGGGGAAUAUUGGACAAUGGGCGCAAGCCUGAUCCAGCCAUACCGCGUGGGUGAAGAAGGCCUUCGGAUUGUAAAGCCCUUUUGUUGGGAAAGAAAAGCAGCAGGUGAAUACCCCGCUGUUCUGACGGUACCCAAAGAAUAAGCACCGGCUAACUUCGUG
Molecule: ribosomal RNA, 492 nt
Filed under: uncultured bacterium
Lineage: Bacteria
Description: partial 16S ribosomal RNA
Rfam family: Bacterial small subunit ribosomal RNA
Source: RNAcentral